RNAcentral lists this small nuclear RNA (107 nucleotides) under Jaculus jaculus (lesser Egyptian jerboa). The record is from RNAcentral. Lineage: Eukaryota; Metazoa; Chordata; Mammalia; Rodentia; Dipodidae.
GUGCUCGCUUCGGCAGCACAUAUACUAAAAUUGGUAUGAUACAGAAAAGCUUAGCAUGGCCCCUGCAUGAGGAAGACAUGCAAGUUCGUGAAGCAUUCCAUAAUAAA